Molecule: ribosomal RNA, 550 nt
Filed under: uncultured Cryptophyta
Lineage: Eukaryota; Cryptophyceae
Description: SSU rRNA
Rfam family: Eukaryotic small subunit ribosomal RNA
Source: RNAcentral
CUUGUUAUUGGAAUGAGAACAAUUUAAAUAACUUAACGAGGAUCAAUUAGAGGGCAAGUCUGGUGCCAGCAGCCGCGGUAAUUCCAGCUCUAAUAGCGUAUAUUAAAGUUGUUGCAGUUAAAAAGCUCGUAGUCGGAUGUCGGGCUCGGGCAAGCUGUCGGCCUUUGGUCGGACGGCAGGCUCGGGUCUUUCUGCCUGAGGGACCCGGUUGCUUUAACGAGCUGCCGGUGGACGCAGGUCGUUUACUUUGAAAAAAUUAGAGUGUUCAAAGCAGGCUAGCGCUUGAAUACAUUAGCAUGGAAUAAUGGAAUAGGACUUUGGUGCUAUUUUGUUGGUUUAUGGGACCGAAGUAAUGAUUAACAGGGACUGUUGGGGCCGUUUAUAUUUCGUUGUCAGAGGUGAAAUUCUUGGAUUUACGAAAGAUAAACUUCUGCGAAAGCAUUCGGCAAGGAUGUUUUCAUUGAUCAAGAACGAAAGUUAGGGGAUCGAAGACGAUCAGAUACCGUCGUAGUCUUAACCAUAAACUAUGCCGACUAGGGAUCAGUGGAUG